GAUGAACGCUGGCGGCGUGCCUAAUACAUGCAAGUCGAGCGAACAGACGAGGAGCUUGCUCCUCUGACGUUAGCGGCGGACGGGUGAGUAACACGUGGAUAACCUACCUAUAAGACUGGGAUAACUUCGGGAAACCGGAGCUAAUACCGGAUAAUCUAUUGAACCGCAUGGUUCAAUAGUGAAAGACGGUUUUGCUGUCACUUAUAGAUGGAUCCCCGCCGCAUUAGCUAGUUGGUAAGGUAACGGCUUACCAAGGCGACGAUGCGUAGCCGACCUGAGAGGGUGAUCGGCAACACUGGAACUGAGACACGGUCCAGACUCCUACGGGAGGCAGCAGUAGGGAAUCUUCCGCAAUGGGCGAAAGCCUGACGGAGCAACGCCGCGUGAGUGAUGAAGGUCUUCGGAUCGUAAAACUCUGUUAUUAGGGAAGAACAAAUGUGUAAGUAACUAUGCACGUCUUGACGGUACCUAAUCAGAAAGCCACGGCUAACUACGUG
This 497-nucleotide ribosomal RNA is filed under the name uncultured bacterium. Its description in RNAcentral is "partial 16S ribosomal RNA". It matches the Rfam family "Bacterial small subunit ribosomal RNA", at positions 28 to 507 of the family's 1533-position model. The record is from RNAcentral.